GAUACAAGGGUGUAAAGGUUAACCGCUGUUCAUGCUUGCAUGAUAAAGCGGUUGAAUUUUAUACCCGUAAAACAUGAGGAAGUAGCGAUUUGCGAAGCAAAUCAGCGGAUUCCGAAUGUUUUUAGAAUUGCGGGAGCAGCUUGCUGCGAAGCAAUUCAGGGUAU
This 164-nucleotide small RNA is filed under the name uncultured Acetatifactor sp. RNAcentral's name for it is "Clostridiales-1 RNA". It matches the Rfam family "Clostridiales-1 RNA". The record is from RNAcentral. Lineage: Bacteria; Bacillati; Bacillota; Clostridia; Lachnospirales; Lachnospiraceae.